CGACGCAGAAGCUCAAGGCGAGCAGCAACAACAAAAGUCAGCGGCAUACAAUAAAACACGUGAAACGUGACAAAUUCCAAAGCGAAACAGAAGUCAACUGGGCGGCGGCUGCGUGAGCGAGAGAGAGAGCGCAAGAGAGCGCAAACUGAUAACCGGCGCUUGGCAACAACAAUCCCAAAGCAAACAACACUCACAUAUACUCUCUACUCGGCCGACAUUUUGUUUUUAUUACAGAGCGCAACAGUCGCGACUUUUGUUGUUGUUUCUGUGAGGGCUUCACUUUAAAAAACGAAAUAAUAAUCAAACGCUACAUUGGCCCCCUCUCUCUCUCACACUCUUGAUCCAUUUGCUUUUCGUUUUUAAUCGAGACACGUUGAAAGUGGCAAACUCACUAAAAAGUACAAAAAAAUAAUAAUAAAUAACAACUCAAAAUUCGUGGCGCAUGACGUAAUUUCUCACGCGAGCCGAGCAUGUCAGCGAUUUGGCACACACACAAGCGCACAUCUACACACACUCACACGCACACCAUUGCAGCACUCAGGUCACACCAACACAACGACAGGGUCCGUAAGCCGUACUCCACACUCCGUAAGCCAUAAAUCUGGUAAAUGUGAUCUGCGAUGACGGAUGACGAAUAACUCAGACGUGUCCAAUUGGGCACUGGGCUCUUGCAUAAGAGCGGAGCUUGUUUUUGUUUUGGUUUCGGCAUUUCGGCGAUCUCUCGCUUUAAUUUCAGUGCGGCACGUGCAUCUGGUGUCGCCUUGUACGGCGUUAUGUAUACGCCCCGUUCGGAUGUUACACAUACGACCGGUUGGUUGCUUGCAGGGCACGUGCAAAGGCACAAAAACUGGCUCGGGUUACUCAUGUGCCACAUUCUCGUAAUAACGCGUCACCCCCUCCCCGCACUCCGUGCAAUCUUAUCGCACUUGUAAUACAUUUACUUGCUCACAUGCUCCGACGUUUUUUUGGUCACGUGUUGUUCAUCGAAAUUGUUACGUAGUUCGGUGAAUUUCCACGAAUUGAAAUGCAAUCAAAGCUGGAGUGCGGUGCAACUGCCGGAGAAAUUUAUUCGUUUUCAUAAUGCAGCAAAUGUGGCUAAAAUGGAGUUGAAACUGUGUGACGAGCCCCGUGCACUUGCGGAGUGCUUACGUGUUUUCUCGAGUUUUCCAGCAGCUUAUCUAUCUUCGUCUGUAUUUGCUGUUUACCCCGAUUGCAUGGCUAAAGUUUAAUCACGAAAGCCGGAGGAAAACCCCAAACGACAACAAUUGCGACUGGCGGACCUGGUAAAACUAUUUUUAAGAUACUUUUGUAAGCACUGCAUUGGGGAAUCGGCUGUGAAAUGAAAUGGAAUGUUAAAUAGAAAUUAAAUAAAUAAACAAUGGAAAUAGAAAGACUAUUGCUUACAGCACGGAACUGCUCACAUUCCAAUUGUGGGUUAGGAAUUUUGUUAUAUCUUCGG
This is a non-coding RNA of Drosophila melanogaster (fruit fly), 1459 nucleotides long. Lineage: Eukaryota; Metazoa; Arthropoda; Insecta; Diptera; Drosophilidae. The record is from Ensembl.